This 24-nucleotide non-coding RNA is filed under the name Arabidopsis thaliana (thale cress). The record is from RNAcentral. Lineage: Eukaryota; Viridiplantae; Streptophyta; Magnoliopsida; Brassicales; Brassicaceae.
AUAUUGCAUGAUGCGGCUUUGGUU